CCUACGGGGGGCAGCAGUGAGGAAUAUUGGUCAAUGGCCGGAAGGCUGAACCAGCCAUGCCGCGUGAAGGUCAGUGCCCUAUGGGCGUUAAACUUCUUUUGUGCGGGAGCAAUAAUGGUCACGUGUGGCCAGACGAGAGUACCGUACGAAUAAGCAUCGGCUCACUCCGUGCCAGCAGCCGCGGUAAUACGGGGGAUGCAAGCGUUAUCCGGAUUUAUUGGGUUUAAAGGGUGCGUAGGCUGUGAGGUAAGUCAGCGGUGAAAUGCCCCCGCUCAACGGGGUGAAGUGCCAUUGAUACUGCCUGGCUGGAAUGCGGAUGCCGUGGGAGGAAUGUGUGGUGUAGCGGUGAAAUGCAUAGAUAUCACACAGAACACCGAUUGCGAAGGCAUCUCACGAAUCCGCGAUUGACGCUGAUGCACGAAAGCGUGGGUAUCAAACAGGAUUAGAUACCCUUGUAGUC
RNAcentral lists this ribosomal RNA (460 nucleotides) under uncultured bacterium. RNAcentral's name for it is "partial 16S ribosomal RNA". It matches the Rfam family "Bacterial small subunit ribosomal RNA", at positions 338 to 795 of the family's 1533-position model. The record is from RNAcentral.